GAUGAACGCUGGCGGCGUGCCUAAUACAUGCAAGUCGAGCGAACAGACGAGGAGCUUGCUCCUCUGACGUUAGCGGCGGACGGGUGAGUAACACGUGGAUAACCUACCUAUAAGACUGGGAUAACUUCGGGAAACCGGAGCUAAUACCGGAUAACAUGUUGAACCGCAUGGUUCAACAGUGAAAGACGGUCUUGCUGUCACUUAUAGAUGGAUCCGCGCCGCAUUAGCUAGUUGGUAAGGUAACGGCUUACCAAGGCAACGAUGCGUAGCCGACCUGUGAGGGUGAUCGGCCACACUGGAACUGAGACACGGUCCAGACUCCUACGGGAGGCAGCAGUAGGGAAUCUUCCGCAAUGGGCGAAAGCCUGACGGAGCAACGCCGCGUGAGUGAAGAAGGUCUUCGGAUCGUAAAACUCUGUUAUUAGGGAAGAACAAAUGUGUAAGUAACUAUGCACGUCUUGACGGUACCUAAUCAGAAAGCCACGGCUAACUACGUG
This 497-nucleotide ribosomal RNA is filed under the name uncultured bacterium. Its description in RNAcentral is "partial 16S ribosomal RNA". It matches the Rfam family "Bacterial small subunit ribosomal RNA", at positions 28 to 507 of the family's 1533-position model. The record is from RNAcentral.